UACAGAGGUCCCGAGCGUUGUUCGGAUUUACUGGGCGUAAAGAGCGCGCAGGCGGUCGUUCAAGUCGCGUGUGAAAGCCCCCGGCUCAACUGGGGAGGGUCACGCGAUACUGAUCGACUCGAAGGCAGGAGAGGGUAGUGGAAUUCCCGGUGUAGUGGUGAAAUGCGUAGAUAUCGGGAGGAACACCAGUGGCGAAGGCGACUACCUGGCCUGUUCUUGACGCUGAGGCGCGAAAGCUAGGGGAGCAAACGGGG
This 254-nucleotide ribosomal RNA is filed under the name uncultured bacterium. RNAcentral describes it as "partial 16S ribosomal RNA". It matches the Rfam family "Bacterial small subunit ribosomal RNA", at positions 524 to 777 of the family's 1533-position model. The record is from RNAcentral.